Molecule: non-coding RNA, 133 nt
Organism: Triticum aestivum (bread wheat)
Lineage: Eukaryota; Viridiplantae; Streptophyta; Magnoliopsida; Poales; Poaceae
Source: Rfam
AAAGUACUCCCUCCAUCCCAAAAUUCUUGUCUUAGAUUUGUCUAGAUACGGAUGUAUCAAGUCACAUUUUAGUAAGAUACAUCUGUAUCUAGACAAAUCUAAGACAAGAAAAUUUGGACAGAGGGAGUAGUUG